GAUGAACGCUGGCGGCGGGCCUAAUACAUGCAAGUCGAGCGAACAGAUGAUGAGCUUGCUCCUCUGACGUUAGCGGCUGACGGGUGAGUAACACGUGGAUAACCUACCUAUAAGACUGGGAGAACUUCGGGAAACCGGAGCUAAUAACGGAGAAUAUAUUGAACCGGAUGGAGCAAUAGUGAAAGACGGUUUUGCUGUCACUUAUAGAUGGAUCCGCGCCGCAUUAGCUAGUUGGUAAGGUAACGGCUUACCAAGGCAACGAUGCGUAGCCGACCUGAGAGGGUGAUCGGCCACACUGGAACUGAGACACGGUCCAGACUCCUACGGGAGGCAGCAGUAGGGAAUAUUCCGCAAUGGGCGAAAGCCUGAUGGAGCAACGCCGCGUGAGUGAUGAAGGUCUUCGGAUCGUAAAGCUCUGUUAUUAGGGAAGAAAAAAUGUGUAAGUAACUAUGCACGUCUUGACGGUACCUAAUCAGAAAGCCACGGCUAACUACGUG
Molecule: ribosomal RNA, 497 nt
Filed under: uncultured bacterium
Lineage: Bacteria
Description: partial 16S ribosomal RNA
Rfam family: Bacterial small subunit ribosomal RNA
Source: RNAcentral